RNAcentral lists this ribosomal RNA (498 nucleotides) under uncultured bacterium. RNAcentral's name for it is "partial 16S ribosomal RNA". It matches the Rfam family "Bacterial small subunit ribosomal RNA", at positions 28 to 523 of the family's 1533-position model. The record is from RNAcentral.
GACGAACGCUGGCGGCAUGCCUAAUACAUGCAAGUCGAACGGUAACGCGGGGCAACCUGGCGACGAGUGGCGAACGGGUGAGUAAUGUAUCGGAACGUGCCCAGUUGUGGGGGAUAACUGCUCGAAAGAGCAGCUAAUACCGCAUACGACCUGAGGGUGAAAGCGGGGGAUCGCAAGACCCCGCGCAAUUGGAGCGGCCGAUAUCAGAUUAGGUAGUUGGUGGGGUAAAGGCUCACCAAGCCGACGAUCUGUAGCUGGUCUGAGAGGACGACCAGCCACACUGGGACUGAGACACGGCCCAGACUCCUACGGGAGGCAGCAGUGGGGAAUUUUGGACAAUGGGCGCAAGCCUGAUCCAGCCAUGCCGCGUGCGGGAAGAAGGCCUUCGGGUUGUAAACCGCUUUUGUCAGGGAAGAAAAGGCUCCUGUUAAUACCGGGGGCUCAUGACGGUACCUGAAGAAUAAGCACCGGCUAACUACGUGCCAGCCGCCGCGGUAA